GGACAGGUUAUUAAGGGCGCACGGUGGAUGCCUUGGCACUAGAAGCCGAUGAAGGACGUUACUAACGACGAUAUGCUUUGGGUAGCUGUAAGUAAGCGUUGAUCCAGAGAUUUCCGAAUGGGGGAACCCAGCAUGAGUUAUGUCAUGUUAUCGACAUGUGAAUUCAUAGCAUGUCAGAAGGCAGACCCGGAGAACUGAAACAUCUUAGUACCCGGAGGAAGAGAAAGAAAAAUCGAUUCCCUGAGUAGCGGCGAGCGAAACGGGAAGAGCCCAAACCAACAAGCUUGCUUGUUGGGGUUGUAGGACACUCUAUACGGAGUUACAAAAGAACAUGUUAGACGAAUCAUCUGGAAAGAUGAAUCAAAGAAGGUAAUAAUCCUGUAGUCGAAAACAUAUUCUCUCUUGAGUGGAUCCUGAGUACGACGGAGCACGUGAAAUUCCGUCGGAAUCUGGGAGGACCAUCUCCUAAGGCUAAAUACUCUCUAGUGACCGAUAGUGAACCAGUACCGUGAGGGAAAGGUGAAAAGUACCCCGGAAGGGGAGUGAAAGAGAACUUGAAACCGUGUGCUUACAAGUAGUCAGAGCCCGUUAAUGGGUGAUGGCGUGCCUUUUGUAGAAUGAACCGGCGAGUUACGAUCUGAUGCAAGGUUAAGCAGCAAAUGUGGAGCCGCAGCGAAAGCGAGUCUGAAUAGGGCGUUGAGUAUUUGGUCGUAGACCCGAAACCAGGUGAUCUACCCUUGGUCAGGUUGAAGUUCAGGUAACACUGAAUGGAGGACCGAACCGACUUACGUUGAAAAGUGAGCGGAUGAACUGAGGGUAGCGGAGAAAUUCCAAUCGAACUUGGAGAUAGCUGGUUCUCUCCGAAAUAGCUUUAGGGCUAGCCUCAAGUGAUGAUUAUUGGAGGUAGAGCACUGUUUGGACGAGGGGCCCCUCUCGGGUUACCGAAUUCAGACAAACUCCGAAUGCCAAUUAAUUUAACUUGGGAGUCAGAACAUGGGUGAUAAGGUCCGUGUUCGAAAGGGAAACAGCCCAGACCACCAGCUAAGGUCCCAAAAUAUAUGUUAAGUGGAAAAGGAUGUGGCGUUGCCCAGACAACUAGGAUGUUGGCUUAGAAGCAGCCAUCAUUUAAAGAGUGCGUAAUAGCUCACUAGUCGAGUGACACUGCGCCGAAAAUGUACCGGGGCUAAACAUAUUACCGAAGCUGUGGAUUGUCCUUUGGACAAUGGUAGGAGAGCGUUCUAAGGGCGUCGAAGCAUGAUCGCAAGGACAUGUGGAGCGCUUAGAAGUGAGAAUGCCGGUGUGAGUAGCGAAAGACGGGUGAGAAUCCCGUCCACCGAUUGACUAAGGUUUCCAGAGGAAGGCUCGUCCGCUCUGGGUUAGUCGGGUCCUAAGCUGAGGCCGAA
RNAcentral lists this ribosomal RNA (1403 nucleotides) under Staphylococcus epidermidis. RNAcentral's name for it is "partial 23S ribosomal RNA". It matches the Rfam family "Bacterial large subunit ribosomal RNA", at positions 1 to 1406 of the family's 2925-position model. Lineage: Bacteria; Bacillati; Bacillota; Bacilli; Caryophanales; Staphylococcaceae. The record is from RNAcentral.